RNAcentral lists this ribosomal RNA (850 nucleotides) under uncultured bacterium. RNAcentral describes it as "bacterial SSU rRNA". It matches the Rfam family "Bacterial small subunit ribosomal RNA", at positions 532 to 1384 of the family's 1533-position model. The record is from RNAcentral.
UCCCGAGCGUUNUCCGGAUUUAUUGGGCGUAAAGCGAGCGCNGGCGGUUAGAUAAGUCUGAAGUUAAAGGCUGUGGCUUAACCAUAGUACGCUUUGGAAACUGUUUAACUUGAGAGCAAGAGGGGAGAGUGGAAUUCCAUGUGUAGCGGUGAAAUGCGUAGAUAUAUGGAGGAACACCGGUGGCGAAAGCGGCUCUCUGGCUUGUAACUGACGCUGAGGCUCGAAAGCGCGNGGAGCAAACAGGAUUAGAUACCCUGGUAGUNCACGCCGUAAACGAUGAGUGCUAGGUGUUAGACCCUUUCCGGGGUUUAGUGCCGCAGCUAACGCAUUAAGCACUCCGCCUGGGGAGUACGACCGCAAGGUUGAAACUCAAAGGAAUUGACGGGGCCCGCACAAGCGGUGGAGCAUGUGGUUUAAUUCGAAGCAACGCGAAGAACCUUACCAGGUCUUGACAUCCCUCUGACCGCUCUAGAGAUAGAGUUUUCCUUCGGGACAGAGGUGACAGGUGGUGCAUGGUUGUCGUCAGCUCGUGUCGUGAGAUGUUGGGUUAAGNCCCGCAACGAGCGCGACCCCUAUUGUUAGUUGCCAUCAUUUAGUUGGGCACUCUAGCGAGACUGCCGGUAAUAAACCGGAGGAAGGUGGGGAUGACGUCAAAUCAUCUUGCCCCUUAUGACCUGGGCUACACACGUGCUACAAUGGCUGGUACAACGAGUCGCAAGCCGGUGACGGCAAGCUAAUCUCUUAAAGCCAGUCUCAGUUCGGAUUGUAGGCUGCAACUCGCCUACAUGAAGUCGGAAUCGCUAGUAAUCGCGGAUCAGCACGCCGCGGUGAAUACGUUCCCGGGCCUUGU